This is a small nuclear RNA of Octodon degus (degu), 106 nucleotides long. NCBI's taxonomy places the organism in Eukaryota, Metazoa, Chordata, Mammalia, Rodentia, Octodontidae. The record is from Ensembl.
CUGCUUGUUUAAGCAGCACAUGUACUAAACUUUCGAAGAUACACAGAGAUUAACAGGAUCUUUGUGCAAGGAUGACAAACAAAUUCAUGAAGUGUUCCACGUUUUU